RNAcentral lists this ribosomal RNA (253 nucleotides) under uncultured bacterium. RNAcentral's name for it is "partial 16S ribosomal RNA". It matches the Rfam family "Bacterial small subunit ribosomal RNA", at positions 524 to 776 of the family's 1533-position model. The record is from RNAcentral.
UACGUAGGGUGCGAGCGUUGUCCGGAAUUAUUGGCGUAAAGAGCUCGUAGGCGGUCUGUCGCGUCGAUCGUGAAAACUUGGGGCUUAACCCUGAGCUUGCGGUCGAUACGGGCAUGACUGGAGUUCGGCAGGGGAGACUGGAAUUCCUGGUGUAGCGGUGAAAUGCGCAGAUAUCAGGAGGAACACCGGUGGCGAAGGCGGGUCUCUGGGCCGAUACUGACGCUGAGGAGCGAAAGCGUGGGGAGCGAACAGG